GUUGACCUCGGAUCAGGUAAGGGAUACCCGCUGAACUUA
RNAcentral lists this ribosomal RNA (39 nucleotides) under Schedonorus arundinaceus symbiont ATCC 56207. RNAcentral's name for it is "26S ribosomal RNA". The record is from RNAcentral. Lineage: Eukaryota; Fungi; Ascomycota.